This 547-nucleotide ribosomal RNA is filed under the name uncultured archaeon. RNAcentral's name for it is "bacterial SSU rRNA". It matches the Rfam family "Archaeal small subunit ribosomal RNA", at positions 333 to 879 of the family's 1478-position model. The record is from RNAcentral.
CACCAGGCGCGAAACCUUUACAAUGCACGAAAGUGUGAUAGGGGGAUACUCAGUGCUUACGCUUAUGGUGUAGGCUUUUGUCGAUCGUAAAUAGAUCGGCGAAUAAGUGGUGGGUAAGACUGGUGCCAGCCGCCGCGGUAACCCCAGCGCCACAAGUGGUUAUCACGAUUAUUGGGCCUAAAGCGUUCGUAGCCGGUCUGGUAAAUCUUUUGUGAAAUUGUUCGGCUUAACCGGACAGCGUGCAGGAGACACUGCCAGACUCGAGACCGGGAGGGGUUAGAAGUAUUCCAUGGGGACUGGUAAAAUGGGAUAAUCCAUGGAAGACUACCGAUGGCGAAGGCAUCUAACCAGAACGGAUCUGACGGUGAGGAACGAAAGCCAGGGGAGCGAACCGGAUUAGAUACCCGAGUAGUCCUGGCCGUAAACGCUGUGAGCUAGGUGCCGCGUAUCUCACGAAGAUGCGCGGUGUCGAAAUGAAGAUGCUAAGCUCACCGCCUGGGAAGUACGGUCGCAAGAGUGAAACUUUAAGGAAUUGGCGGGGGAGCAC